Molecule: non-coding RNA, 2948 nt
Organism: Danio rerio (zebrafish)
Lineage: Eukaryota; Metazoa; Chordata; Actinopteri; Cypriniformes; Danionidae
Source: RefSeq, a predicted model, not a curated record
UUGUUCUGUUACCAUGUUGUUUUGUUGUUGGCUGAUCUGAGUGUCGCUGAUGGGUGGGUACUGUUAUGAUCUGCAGUUCGAGUUGUUGGGGAAGGCAGGCAAUUUUACAGAAAAUCGUGUGAAACAGGAAUGCUAGUAAACCGGUCAUGAUGUUUUAUCUCUGUGUUUUACACAUACGCACAUACAUUUAUGUAUUUUAUUCUUAGCUUCUUGGUCUUCGUUCUCAGUAGUCAGCGUUGUGCAUUUCUGUAUAUCCACGGAUGUGUGUCUAAUCAUGUCUGUUUGUCUGUCUGGGAGGCUAUAUUUGUAUAAGGGCCUUAACUCUGACAAACACAUUUUAUUUUCGAUUAUCCAGUUGUGCUUCUUCUAAAUAAGAUGUAUCUGUUUUAUUUUAGGUUAUAAAAACAGUCGCUUUAUUUUGGUUUUGCAUAUUGCUAACACCAAUGACAACGUGUUUUUGAUUCUUAUUUCAAGAUAUAUGUUGUGCUCCUAUAUGCAGAGCAAACAUUUAAAUGAAUCAUCCCAAUCCGUUGAUGAGGGAACCUUUUCAGAAAAUCAAGCCCCAUUCUCUGCGGCUGGGGCAUCCACGAUUUGACAGCUGCAGGGGCUUCUCGUCUCUCCAUUCAACAUUGUAAUUUUAGAUAAUAUCCCAAGCGUUCACUCUCCUCGGCAAUUUGUACAUGAAUAACCGAAUAAUUUCAUCUUUUGUUUCGUCUUUGCCACUUCAAAUCCAAAUAAAGAUGCCUUUUAGUAUUAAAAGUGGUAGAAAAUUACAGGUAAUUAUCUUUGACGGUAAAAACGCUGUAAUCAGCGGGCUACAUCAAAAAUUACCCUAAUUAUGUCUGCAUUUAUGAGAAUGGAAAAAAACCCUCUCUUGGAUAAAACCCAUAAAUUGUCCCAAAUAUCUCCUUCAUAUUGAACGAGACUGCAGCUGGAUGCUUUGUUCAGGAUCGAUCCUGUGGCGAAAGGCAUUCAGCGUCUUGCAGAUCAAGGCAGAGAGAAAGGGGAAAAACAUUUUGUCAAUACCUUAAUAAUUGAGCUCGAGAAUGACAAGAUGGACAAGAUGCGGCUCUAUUCUGUAGGAAAACACUUUGAGAAACCACCAGCUCGGGAAAUUCAGCUGCCGAUACCCUGGAGAUCCUGCCGUCCGCAACUUGUUUUGUUAAUCGAAAUGAAGGGAGGAUUGCGUGAUCCCAAGCACAGAGCGGCUCGCUGUUUCCUCUCAUUACACAAGACGGCCUUACCAGCGAGGAGGAAUAUGCAUGAAUACAUUAAAAGGUAAUGAGGAAGCUGUCAGGAGAGGGUCGUUCGGGCCAGCGCUCCGAGUUGGAGAGCUUUAACAAACAGCAUUACGUGAUGGACUUGUCUUCUCUCUGCACGAGAAGAGAAAAGGGGUGGAGUUCACUGGUGUUACUAAUGGCAACUGUUGCCAGGUUUUCGAUGAUGCUGCUAAUGUGGAUGCAGAGGAAUUUCACUUGCGCCUUGUUUUUUGACUGAUAAGUUAAAUAUUUGAAUUCUUAAGCUACAAAUUCUGUCAAUUCUCAAGCAUUUAAGUUUAUGAAUCAGAAUUAAAUAAUUUUACAUACAAAUAAAAGCAUAUUAAGUUCAUUACGUUUGUGUCUAAAUUCAACCUUGAUGUUUUAAGUAACUUUUGUGAAAAUAACAAGUUAAAAAUGUUAAAUACUUAUUCAAACCUUUUCUUUUUGGAAUAUUUACAAGAAUAAAAGAUCAUAUGUAAUGGCAAAUUAUUUUCUGUUCACAAAGUGUACAUUUUAAAGGGCACCUAUGAUGAAAAUCAUCUUUUUAAAGCUGUUUGGACAGAAGCUAUAGUGUGUCCACAGUCAUAUUAAGUAAUAUUAAGACAAUAUUAUGACGUUCCUGAUGUUAAAAAAAGGAUCCAAAUCCCUCCCAUUUUUAGGCCAACCGCAACGUAAUGUAGGAGUGCAGUUUCCCUGCCCACUGAAUUGAUUGACAGCCACGUGUUAACAUGUUUUCAUAUUAAUGCGUAUAAUCAUAUCAACAAGACAGGACGUGUGCAAAGCAACUGGGACUAAAAGAUCUGUUCAGCUCUCUGUGAUCAUCAACCAUCAUCAAAUGUGAUCAAGAAUGAGUUUAACAAGUUUAAAAUGUGUUUAAAACAGUGCAUGUUAAUGAAUCACGAUGAUUUACUUCAGCUUUACUUAUCACCAUCUGUGAGCAAAAGGAUCCCAAGGAUUGGCUCAAAAGACAAUGUUACUAUGUUUUAGAUGAUAAUUUCUCUACAGCUCCUUAACUCUUAAACAACCAGUAGAUUAUCCAUGGCUGUAAUAACCCAAUGAUUAUAAUGCAUUUGUUUUUUUUUACAAAUUCUUAAUCAAUCUAUAAUAUCAAUAUAAACCAUCAGUAUUAGAAAUUUCCAUCACACAUUUAAAAAUGUAAUUAAAAUGUAUUUUUAUCUAGAGGGUUUUAUUUAUUUGACAUUUAAAUGGACAAUUAAUGUUUGAUUUUUGGGUUAUUACAGCCAUGGAUAAUCUACUGGUUGUUUAAGAGUUAAGGAGCUGUAGAGAAAUUAUCAUCUAAAACAUAGUAACAUUGUCUUUUGAAUUGAAUUGAAUUGAAUUGAAUCUGUUAUUGAAAUAUUAUUGUUUUUCUGUCUUCUGUAUCACAAGGUCAAAAUUAACAACAAUGAUCUUUUUUUUUUUUGCUCAGAAAAUAAUAUAAACUUAAACCAGGCACAAUCUAAUGUACAGAAACUUUGACACCUGAAUAAAGAUUUACACUUAUUCUGUGAAUAAACUUUUUAAAUACAUUUCUAUUUGUUGACUACUUAAAGUAAAAAUGACCUUAAAUGAGAUGGAGGACAUGAUAAUUAUGUCAUGGAUUGCUUAUAUACAAAGUAAAGAGUUUUAAAUUCAUGUCUAUGUGUAAAUUUAACUCUUGUGAAAAUAAAAAGUCAAAUAAGCAAACAA